This 175-nucleotide ribosomal RNA is filed under the name Rhodospirillaceae bacterium. RNAcentral describes it as "partial 16S ribosomal RNA". It matches the Rfam family "Bacterial small subunit ribosomal RNA", at positions 1 to 176 of the family's 1533-position model. Lineage: Bacteria; Pseudomonadati; Pseudomonadota; Alphaproteobacteria; Rhodospirillales; Rhodospirillaceae. The record is from RNAcentral.
CAACUUGAGAGUUUGAUUCUGGCUCAGAACGAACGCUGGCGGCAUGCCUAACACAUGCAAGUCGAACGAGAACGCACCUUCGGGUGUUAGUAGAGUGGCGCACGGGUGAGUAACGCGUGGGAAACUACCUAGCAGUGGGGAAUAACUUUUGGAAACGAAAGCUAAUACCGCAUAC